UUAAAUAGUCAAAUCUGUUAAGAGGAGGCUGGUAAACACUAGAGUAAUUGGUUGAGGAAAAUUCUGCAAAGCUUAUCUUGAAGUAGAGGAUCAAAUGUACAUUAUACUAUCUUGUAAACUCUUGUGUAAGAGCUUUUUUGUAACAUUCAUGAGUGAAAUUAAAUGCAAAGAUUUUGUUUUCAAUAUGUAUGAUUUCCUUUUGUACAGCUUUAAUUCAAAAAUAAAAACCUAUCAUGCAAAAAUUGCAUGCCUAGGUUUUUUUUUUUUUAAUUACUGAAUAAAACUUUGAGACGACAAUUUUACCGUGGCCAAAAUAGAUUUGCGACUACGUCAGCAGUAGCCACUUGCCGUCACUUAGUUGGCGACGGCCUAUGCAGUCGCUGUGUGCCGUCGCCAAUACGGUGGCUGACACGACCCACCCCAAAUUUCAUCCUGAAACCCAGAGUAAGUUGUGCGGGGACCACCUCCAAGGAAAAUUUACUGAAAAGAUUAAGCAAAUCUCCCUUGCGGAUGGACAACUCUAACUCGAAAAUUUCAUAUUACACUCUUAAUUCAACACUUCCGAACAUCACAUAAUCAUCCUUCAGAAAUUCUACACAUAAUAUAUAAUAAUCCCAAAGUAUUCAGAGCUACUAAACACAAGCGGAAGAAAGAAAACACGAGUAGGUUGAACAGGUAACCUACUGACGAAAACUGGCAGAAAUGCGGGUGACUAUGCCUCGUCUCCUACUAGAUCCAACCCGAACUCUGCAGACUGGGCAAUUUAAAACGAAGAGCUUAGGGGAAAACAUUUAAUAACGUUAGAGUGAGUGGACAAAAAUAAAAUAAUAAAUAAAAUAUUUAUGUUUCCCCAAAUUAAUUUCUAAGGAAAAAUCAAAUGCAUGCCGCAAGCGAUAAAACUUUUAUCCCAUAAAUGUGGUGCUACACUACGCCAUUAAGGUGGACAGACGGGUGUAUAAAUAUGUGCCCAUACCCCCUAUAUGAAUUAAACACUCAUAUAGGGCUACUACGCUCACGUCCAACGCUUACGUCACACCAUAAUGCGGCUAUAUGCUACGCCAUUAAGGUGGACUGACACAUAUGGCUAGCUAGCAUUUUCUAUACAUACUUUCUCAUAAAUACAUAUUUAUAUCCACCGAAAAUCCCAUUUUAGGUAUUUCUCCAAGAGAAAUAAAAAUCGUCAACAAUUAAAAUGACGUCAAAAUACUCCACGACAUUAAUUAUUCAACCAUGAACUAUAGCAUGUAUUUAUUUAAAAUAAACGUCCACUCACAAAUUUGGCCUAAGCCUGAUGUCGAUCUGGGGCCUCGUCUGCUCGAGCCUCCUCACGUCCUGUUCCAAAUAUAAUAUUAAUUUCCCAACCAAUUAAUCCAAUAUUUAAUCAAAAUAGGCAAAAUUACCCGAGAGCCAUUAAAAUACGACUCAUCAUUGCCUACUUCGAUAAUCUUAAUUGGAACAAUCCGAACUUAAAUAUCAUACUCAACAGUCGUAAAUACAACCUCUCCAAAAUACGACUUAAAUCCUACGGCCGGAUUCUACAUUAAUUAACCGCCAAAAAUACCAAACUUCGGAAAUUCACAAACCUAUCCAAAUCUCAUCCAAAAAUUCCAUAAAUCACAUCAAUAUACUCCUCUUAAUAUUCCACACUUAAAACCCUAAAAAUCUCCUAAUCGGCAGCGGCUCCGCUGGCAGCGGCGGCCGGAGGCCAAUUCCGGCGACCUCCAAAACCUAUGAAAUUUUGACAGAAUAAUCCUCUCAUCAAGCUCUACAACUUUCAUAACUAGCACAAACACCAAUUCCAAGCCUAACUAGGGCAAUCGACUAAAAACAUCCAUAAAUCCCUAAAACUUUCAAUUAUACAAACCACCCUAACGAAAUCGAAUUUAGCCGAAUCCUUUUGAGGGAUUACUGACCUAGAUGAGGGCUACAAGUUGAGCCAAAAAUCACGACCUAUGGUGGCCGGACAACGGAGCUCCGACGAAAAACCCUUUCCGGCAGUCGAACUUUUCGGGGUUGACCGCUCCUUCACGGCGGCGUUCCGCGCGGGUGCACCGGUCCAGGAUGAGAGAGGAAGAGGCAAGGGUCCGAACGGGACCAGUCUGGCGGUCGGUGGUGGCCGGACGGCGACGGACAGCGGUGGUGAAGUUUCCGGGCGGAGGGAGGAGAAAAUCAGGUGGGAGGAGAGAGAAUCGGGAGGAAAAGAGAGAAGUGAGGGGAGAGAAAUGUAUGGGCUUGGCCCAAACCGGUCCACACCAUUUAUAACCCAAUCUUCCAAAAUAAAAACACCCCGAAAAAUAAUACCCGAAUAAAAAUUACCUUUUACUAGCUAAAAUUUACCAUUUUUACCGUCGUCGUAUUUUCCUCAUACGAAUAAUCCUCCGCACAUAAUCGUCCCCGAAACCCCUCUAGGGACCAAUUAAACUAUUUACUCAAUGAUCGAGACGGUAAAAUUCUUAUUAUAAUCACGCUAGUAAAUAAGGUAAAAAUAUAAGGGUCGGGAUGUGACAGUGGCGACGGCUCAUUGCCGUAGCCAAAAGCAACGGCGACGCCCUCAACGGCGACGCCCUCAACGGCGACGACAAAAAUGUCGUCGCCGUUGGUCUUUCGCGACGGCAGAAUGGUUUUUGGCGACGGCAGUGCGCCGUGGCGAACCGAAUUAAUUUUUGUAGUGAGCCAUAACCACGCUCAUCAUUGCCUAACUUCGAUUCCUAAAUCGAAACGAUCCAAACUUUAAUACCAUAAACGGCAGCCGUAAUAACAACCUCCCCCAGAAUAAUGACUUAAAUCCUACGGCCGGAUUCCACAUUAAUUAAUCGCCAAAAAUACCAAACUUCGGAAAUUCACAAACCUAACCAAAACUCAUCCAAAAAUUCCAUAAUUCACAUCAAUAAACUCCCUUUAAUAAUCCACAUUUAAAACCAUAAAAAUCUCCCAAACAGCGGCGGCGGCCGGAGGCCGACUCCGGCGACCUCCAAUGCUUAUGAAAUUUUGACAGCAUCUUCCUCUCAACCCACUCUACAACUUUCCUAAUUAGCACAAACACCAAUUCCAAGCUUAACUAGGCCAAUCGAACGAAAACACCCAAAUAAGCCCUAAAACUUCCACUCACCGGUUCUCCUUACCUAGACCAAGAGAGGAUGAGCCCUUUGGAGGGAUUGAUGCACGGGAGGAGAGCUUCAAAACGAGCUAAGAAUCGCCGGCUAUGGCGACCGGAGGAGGGAGCUCCGGCGAGGAAACCACCACGGCAGCCAAGGCUUUCGGGGGAGAGAACUCCCUCAUGGUGGCGCUAGAGGGGCUGCCACCGAUCCAGGGAGGUAGCUGGGUUGAAGGUUGACCGAACAGGACCAGUGCGGCGGGCUGUGAUGGCCGGACGACGACGAGCGAACGGCGAGAAGAUCCGACAGCGGGAGAGCUUGGGAGAGAGGUCGAGAGGGAGAGAAGAAGAAGAGAGAAGAGAAAAAUAGGACUUGGGCCUCCACCAACCCGGUCGAACACCCUUAUACCAACCCAACUCUAAAAUAAAACACCCUGAAAAAUAAUACCCUAAUAGAAAUUACCUUUUACUAGCUAAAAUUUACCAUUUUUACCGUCGUCACAAUUUCCUCCUACGAAUAACUCUCCAUAAAUAAUCGUCCCUCAAAACCCCCUCUAGGGACCAUAAAAACUAUAAACUCAAUGACGAAAACGGUAAAAUUCUUAUUAAUAUCAAGAUAGUAAAUAAGGUAAAAAUUUAAGGAUCGAGAUGUGACAAAUUACUGAUACUUACUAUUAGUAUGUCUUUCACUAAUGUGAACGUUCUGUUUCUUUCAGGUUUGGUCAUUGGUAAGACGGUUUGAUCAACCCCAAAAGUACAAGCCAUUCGUGAGCAGGUGUGUUGUGCAGGGAAAUCUUAAGAUUGGGAGUCUCAGAGUAGUUGAUGUUAAGUCUGGGCUUCCUGCCACCACUAUUACUGAGAGGUUGGAACUUGUUGAUGACGACAAGCAUCUUCCUAGCAUUAAAAUAAUUGGUGGAGAUCACAGACUUAGGGUAUGGAUGCUCUUCCUUGUUUUGUUCUACCCAUUGCUUCCUUUUUCCUUCACUGUAUAUGAAGUUAAAAGAUCAUCUUCUCAAACUUUAAAAAAGAAGUUCCAUUGUUCACCGGAGUUAGAACUUUUAUUUAAAGAACGUGGAUUUCUGGUCUGAUAAACACUUUUACACGUCACGCAAUAAUGUGGGUGGUGCCCUUAGUUAGAAGAGUUAGAAGUCAAACUUGCUUUCUGGCUUGUUAAUCUACUGAUCUCAGCUUUCAAGUUCUCAUUGUCACUACUCUUUUUUCCCCAGAACUACUCUUCAAUCAUUUCCCUCCAUCCAGAAAUCGUUGAUGGAAGACCAGGGACUGUGGUGAUCGAAUCAUUUGUAGUUGAUGUGCCUGAGGGGAACACCAAGGAUGAAACCUGCUACUUUGUUGAAGCUGUGAUUCAAUGCAAUCUCAAAUCACUUUGUGAUGUCUCAGAGAGGCUUGCAGCGCAGGACCACACUGAACCAAUAGAUCGGCUCUGAAAUUGAAGCCGAGACAUAUAAUGGAGACGGGGCUGCCAUGGAUGAAGCUUCCGAGCUUUCAUAUAUCUCAGAGGUUUUGGAGACAGACAGGCAGUAGUAUGCUUCCAUUGCACAUGCAACAAACAUUCAUGUCUCAUUUGCUUGCUUUGUUUUCUGUGUUCAAGAUCAUAUUGUCAAAACUUCUGUCAAAGUUUAAGGACCAUAGUUGUCAUAAAGGACUCUGUAACUCUUCAUGAAUGAAAAAAUAGAGAAAAAAAGGUCCGUGUGUCUAUUCUCUUGUAUCCCUGGGUUUUGUUCCAACAAAUUUUUGGUUGUAUAUACGUACAUAUAUGCCAACUGCUAAGAGAAAAGUAUAGCAUGUAUGUAACUACCCAGGUAAUGUAGUUUUGUAUGUAGCUUCUUAUGUAGGAUGUAUAUAACUACCCAGGUAACUAUAAAUCUGUAGUUACAUGGAUAGUUACAUAGAAAGAUAGUUACAUGCAUAGUUACAUGUAUAGUUACAUGCAUAGUUACAUAGGAUAGUUACAUGCAUAGUUACAUGCAUAGUUACAUAAGAUAGUUACAUGGAUAGUUACAUAGAAUAGUUACAUGCAUAGUUACAUGAAUAGUUACAUAGAUGGAUAGUUACAUGGAUGGGUGGGGAACCGGUUGGGAAAAGCCCAACACUUUUCUUCUCUCUCUUCCCUCCCGACGUUCUCUCUCUCUCUCUCCCUGCCGGAUCUUCUUCGUCUCUGACUGACGCCGUCCAGCCAAGCCGGGCCGUCGCUCCAGUCCCGAUCGAACCGUCGCCGCCCCCUCUCCCUUCUUGGGCUGGUGACCGAGCGUGUAGCGCCACCGAUCGGGAGAAACUUCCCUCGAGAACCCGACUGCCCUUUUGCCGGAACUCCCUCCUCCGGGCGCCAUAGUCAGAGCCGCUUGGCUCGUUUGGAAGCUCUCCUUCCGUGCAUCAAUCCCUCGAAAGAAUUCACUCCCUCUUGGACUAGGUAAGGAGAAUCGUUGAGUUGAAUUUCUAGGGUUUUAUUGUGUGUUUUGGUUCGAUUGACCUAGUUAAACAUGAAAUUGGACUUUGUACUAGUUAGGAAAGUUGUAGAGCGGGUUGAGAGAAAGAUGGUAUUAAAAUUUGGUAGGCAUUGAAGGUCGCUGGAGUUGACCGCUGCCCGCGGAGCAGACGGCGGCGGCGCCGCUGUGAAGUGGUUUUUAGGGUUUUUAAUUUGUUGUAUUAAGGGGAGUCUAUUGAUGUAAAGUUUAGAAUUUUUGGAGGAGCUUUGGAUAGGUUUGGGAUUUUUCAAAGAAUGGUGAAUUUGACGGUUAAUGGGGUAGAAUCUGACCGUUAGAUUUCCCUUAUUAUUGUUUUAGAAUGUUGAAAUAAAUGAAAUGAGGUUGCGGGUGAAGUUUGGCAUAAAUCCGAUAAAUAUAAAUAUAUAUUUAUGAGGAGAGUAUGUAUAUAAAUGCUAGCUAGCCAUAUAUGUCUAUUCACCUUAAUAGCGUAGUAUAUAACCGCAUUAUGGUGUGUCGUGAGCGUUAGACACGAGCGUAGUAGCCCUAUAUGAGUGUUUAAUUCAUAUAGGGGGUAUGGGCACAUAUUUAUACACCCGUCCGUUCACCUUAUUGGCGUAGUGUAUCACUGCAUUAUGGCUUGACGUGAGCGUUAGACGCGAGCGUAGUAGCCUUAUAUAAAUUAUUUUAAAUCCAUAAAAUUUAUAUAGGGAGUAUAGAUGUGUGUGAAUACAUACAUAUAUUUUAUAGCUUGAGAGGCUCGAUAUUUUAUGAGUUGAAAGUUUUAUCGCUUGAGGCAUGCAUUCGCUUUUCUUUGGAAAUUUAAUUUGGGAAAACAUAAAUAUAUUUAUUGCUCGUUUCUUUUAAAUUUACUUUCGUUUUAACUUUGUUAUCUUCUUAGGUACUUCGUAGAGCAAGAUAAUGCAAAUAUGUGCUCAAGUGAUGCAAGCAAGGCUUCCAAUACGAAGUAGAGAUGUCAAGGAUGGAGUUUGAUCACUCACAUGGUCAAAAAUAUCAAGGAAAGGCGAUGGAACCACUUCACCAAAACAGAAGCUGCAAACACAAAAAGCUGAAAACUGGUUUCUGCUUAUUUUCUCCGGUUUUCAAGGCUUAUUUCCAUGCGGUUCCGAGAAUGGUUUCACCAAGAUCACUGCUCCGAUUUGUAGAGGAGCAUUUGUAGAUCAAUUUGGACUCAAGAAUCAUCCAAAUCGGUGAUGGCAUCUUGGAUUUAUGAAACGUCAAAGUUGGACAAAAAAUCAGCAGUUCCGGGAAAGCUUUGCAGCAGUCAAGUUCGAGGAAGUGUUUGGGCUGGAUUCUGAGAGGCUUUCUUGGGGGUUUGCGCACGAUUUUGAAGAGUAACAUCAUUAAUAUAAUUUGCCCAAAAGCCAAGCCCAGAUUAUAUGUGGAAGACAUUCAAAAGAUAGCCCAAACAUUGAUCCUAGUCAAAGAAUGAAACAUAGUCUGAAAAGGAAGCUUGGAAGACUUGGAGACUACUUAAGGCAAAACCCUAAUACCAUAACGUACUCUAAGUCGUCAUACUAGAAGAGAGCCUUCACAUUGUUGCAUUGCACAAGAAUCCAUCAAGGGGAAGUCUCCAAGAUCAUCGUCAUUCCUUCCGUUCACAGUUUUCUUCUUCCCUUUGUAAUCUGUAACUUUCGAAUUUAUUUUCUCUCUGUGAUUUCUACAACAAUGUGUGGCUAGUUUAUCUUAGUUAGGGGUGGAGAUUUGAAGCCCCGAAUUAUGCAAUAAACUUUGUUUUACAACCUUGAUUCGUAAUUGCUUAGUUAUGGAUUGUCUGUUUGGUUUUGAUUUAUAGGGAACUCUUGCUUGUUUAUGUUCAUGGAUGCAUACAUAGAACAUUAUAAACUUGUAAGUGGGGCUAGAAUUAGGUUGUUUAAUCUCCUAAACGGUUAAUACAGCCUAAUUCAAGGUAGUAAAACCUAUAGGACAAUAGGUGAAACUAAAUAGAAAGACCUGCAUGCUAGGUAGGCGUUCCACACUAGUUUUGCAAACUUGUUCAAUCACUUCCAUUGAUCUUAAUGCUUAGAAUAAUUUGUUGAUAGGAUAGCGUCCAUAUCUUGAUUGGUUAUUCUAAAGGCUUAGUAAUGGUGCGUUCAUCUUGGUUAAGUAGUCAAUUCUUACGCAAUGCGUUCACAGUUUAUUCUUGAUUGAACCUUUUCAUAACUUGGUAAUUGGAAUCUCGGUUGUGUGGCCUUUGUUUUGCAGCAUAUUCGGUGGUGAAUUUCCUAAAUCCCUAACCUCUUCUCUGUCUUAUUUCUCAAACUACAAAAACCAAUCUAGUUUUCUUAUUCUUUUGUCUUUUGUUUUUGGUGAUUUAUUUAAUAUAGUAAACGAACUUCAAAUCCCCAGAAAUUUUGUGUAUGUUCGUCUCUAUGUCUAGUUUAGGUCGAUAAAUUUUCAUAAUUUUCUGAGUAGUGUAGGUUGGGUAGUUAAGUAUAUUUUCAUCUGUUGUUCGUUAGGAACAGUACACUUUUGUGACAUUGUUUUUGUGUGUGAAAUUUAAUACCCUCAAUCUCUGGCAAUGAACAAUCCUUGCUUCUUUAUACUACAAUUGACAAUCUUUUGCAAGGUCAAAUUGUGAGGCUAUUUUAGCCUUAUCAAAAGUCCAAAAUAACAUCUUCUUGAAUAUUCCAACGGCUAGCAACCUCUUAACAUGAGAAUUACCGAUCUUCAAAUAAUUCUUUUUUAUUAUUCGCCGCUUCCUUACUUUUAUUUUUUUCUGUCUAAAUUUGGCCCGUUCUCAUUUUACAUCAAUAAAAGAUAUAUUUGUAAACUGAAAUUUGGUAAUGAAGCAGAAUAGACAAGUGGUGUUCCGGGUACAAAUAAUAAUUUCCCACUAGGUAAAACCUUGCUAAGAAUUCAAGUCCCAGCCCGAUUUUACAUUCGGGUAUUCAAUUAGAGUUGGAAGACUACUAGCUCGAUCAAGCUGCUCAACCGACACCUUUUUUUACCUCCGCCCCCAUAAGGUUGAGCCAGGAACCUCACCUCCUAGCAAAUAACUACUAAAACCCUCAUCGCCCUCAUCACAACAAUCUUGUUUGAUCGACCUGAUGGCUCUGAACAGGAAUCCGGCAAUGGCUGCCAUGCUGUUAGGGUUUUUGUUACUGAUGCAUGGCGCCACUUCAACAUUGGCCCUAUCCAGCGGGAGAGUCGGCAGAGGCUCCUCCUUGUCCUCCUCUGUCAAGACUCACCCCGAAUUUCACCCUGAAACCCGAAGUAAAUCCUGCGGGGACCACCUCCAAAGAAGAUAUUACCGAAAAUUCAGCAUAACCUCCCUUGAAAAUGGACAACCCUUCCUAAUAAUACCUGCAUACACUUCUAACAAAUCCUGCUACUUCUAGAGCCUUCAUGCUCCCCAAAUCACAACAUCUCCCAAUUUAUUCACUAAUCUAAAAAAUAACCCCACAUCAAACAAUUCAUUGGUUCAGAGCAACUCUAAAAAUAAUAAAGAAAAACAUAAUACAGAUAAGCGGAAGUUAUAUUAUGAACUAUGCCUCAACUCUAAGUACGCCCGACCUCGACUAAACUAACCUGAAACCUGGGCAUUUUUAAAAUGAAGGGCCCAGGGGAGAAGCAAUUUAAAAACGUUAGAGUGAGUGGACAAAAAUAACUUUAAAAGAAAUAAUACUUUAUGCUUUCCCGAAUUAACUUCUAUGGAAACUUUAACUGCAUGUCACGAGCUCAAAAGCUUUCAAAUUUACAGAAUUUACCAAAACGUGACUAGUCGCGCUAGUCACCAACACUUCAUAAAAAGAGAGCCUCUCAGUCUAAAAUAAAAUAUGUAUGUAUUAUACUCAUCAUAUCCCUUGUAUGAAUUUUCUUGAAACAACAAAGACAAAUAGAAAAUUCACACAAGACUACGACGCUUGCGUCUAACGUUCACGUCGCACCAUAAUGGCAUUUUACCUCAUUAUGGUGGAAAAGACGGUGUAUAUAUAUAUAUAUACGCGCAUAUCCCCUAUAUAAAUUCUUAUAUAUUUAUAUAGGGCUACGACGAUUGCGUCUAAUGCUCACGUCGCACCAUAAUGAAAUUUUACCUCAGUAUGAUGGAAAAGCACGUAUAUCUAGCUAGCAUUUAUUUAUAUACAUAUUAUUCUCAUAAAUAUCCAAAUAUGGAUAUAUAUAUAUAUAUAUAUAUACUCACCGAAAUUCUCAAUUUCGGUUAUUCUCUAACAACAUAAAUCAUUUCGCAUGCACAUUAUUUAAAACAAAGUCCACUCACCGUAUUAGGCCUAAGCCUUCCUUUGCUCGGAAUACUCCUCGAGCACUACCUCUAACUAUUCACACUCAAUGGCCAAUCCCACAUCUGACGAUAAACAGGAGAAUAAAUUGAUCAGAUCAGACUCCAAUAAUCAUUAACGAUUCGACUACUUCCUAGUUUGGCUAAGUUCCUGGGUUGACCAGGAUUGACCAACAAUUGACCAACAUAUUUUACUAAUCAUUUCCGACUAACUUCGCAACUAUACUCAUUCGGUUCCAUACCAAACCUUAACCUGGAAUUCAAAGUCACCAUCAAUUUUCAUGCCUUAACAUAUCAACCAAAAUACUUUCAAAAUUAAUUUACGAUCUCCUACGAUCAAACAUGCCCACAUACAAUACCAACAAUUUCCUUCACUUCCUCUCUACACAACUUCACCCCAAAAAUUUACUAAGGGCACCCAAAAAGGGUUUCCAUAAAUAGGAAGUUUCCAAAAAGGGAAAGUUUCCCAAAAUAGGAACUUUCCUCACUUAGAAAGAUUUCCGAUUACUAACCAACAAACUUUCCUAUUUAUGAAACAACACAAAACAAAAAGGAAAAACGUCAAUAACUACCUCAACGCUUCUGCCGGAUUAACUGUCUUCGCCGGAUUCUGACGACUUGUCGGAAUAUUCUGCCGGAUUCCGGCAAGUGGCCGGAAUUUCGCCAUAGCUUCCCCUUAAACUCCAAAUCACCAAGUUAUCGACAACAAUAACCAAAACAUUCAUAUUAGCAACCAUACUCCAAACAAUCCACAUAAAACAACACAACAACCACAUAGCAGCAACCUAGCUGCUCAAAUUUUUAGUCCUUACCUACAGUUCACUCAAACCCAAACCCAGAAAUUCCUCCUUGCCGGAGACUCCACCUCAGCCGGACUCCUCGCCUCUGCUUUGAACCCCGCUCAAUGUAGCUCCUCCAAAGCUCCACCAGAUGGCGUCUGAGGUCCAAACAAACAUUUCUACACUAGUCAAAACUCGACAGCCUUACCGGAGUCCCAAGAUUGGACUUGCCGAAAAAAGAACCAUGAAACCCAAAAAAAGGCAGAAAAGGGCUUUGCAGUUUAGAACUCGAUUCGAGAUGAAACAAACCCAGAAAAGAAGAGGAGAGGAAGGAGAAUAAGAAUAUGACCUUGGUCUGUCGAUUCGUCACCGGAACUCGCCGGAACUUGGGACGAACAGCCAUCGUCCUCCUCUUCCGAUCUCCAUCGAGAAUGGCUGCCUCUCGGAUUUGAGAGUUAAGCUAGGUCAGGAAGGAGGAGAGGAUCACUUGGUGGCAGUCUUGUCGUCAGGUGUGGCCGGAUGGCGCUGCUCCGGCGAGAGACGACGACCGACAGAGAGAGAGUCAGGGAGAGGAGAGAGAUUCGGUUGGGCUCGGUCAAACCCGACUUGGGUUUUUUUGACUGGGUCUGACUAGUCUUCCUCCAUUUAACAGCAGAAAUGGACAACAGGUGAUCGAUGAUUAAAGAUCAACGACCCAGAUUUUUUUAUAAAUCGUAGAAAAUAGCUCGAAGCUCCCAAAAAUAAUCCGAAGAUAUUGGAGAACUCGUGUCAUCACGCACUACUACCUCGGAUCCUUAAUAGAAGAAUUUAACAUUUUAAGAAAAACUCGACAAUAAAUUCGAGUGUUAAAUUACCAAAUUACCGAGCACGGUUAAAUUCCUCAGUAACUCGUAACAUACCCAGUAAAAAGGGUAAAAUUAGGUCCGGGAUGUUACAUCCUCCCCCGGCCACUCUUCAUCAUCCUCGUCAUCUUCUUCUUUUAGGUCUUCUACUUCUUCCUCGUCUUCUUCAAGAUAUCCCUACUACAUUAAUAACCACGGCAAUCGUUCGUCGUCGUCGUCCUUCUCAGCGGGCUUUAUAUGGGUUAUCAUCGGAGUGAUCACUGUAGCUAUCGUGUCUGUUAUAGUGGUAAUAGCCUGCUAUGGCAAAAAUAAGCGACAAAAAUGUUCGAGUUUUUCAACUAGUGUUCUCAAGCUCCAGGUAUUCAGAUUCCAUGUCAUAUCUCUAAUACUUUCUUUCCAUUUUUUUUAAACGAAAACUUUUCAAAUGGAGAAGCCCUUCGGAUAACCAAUGUUUAUACUGCUAACACAUAACAUGGCUUUCGAAGCCACAAUGAGAACCUUAAUUUCCCAAAGUAAAAUAGGGAUAAACUGAUUCAUGAGUGAUUAUCUUAUAAGCAAGAAAUUGUUUAUGUUGGAUAUAUUAGAACUUUUUUGUUUUGGUCAGUAGUACACUAGAUUAUGCUUAGAAGAAUGGUACUUAAUUAUGUAAUGUUUAAGAUGAUUGUUUAGGUUUGAUGAGGAAAAUUUACAGUGAAUAUAUAUAUAUAAUUAAAUUCAGUUUACCCCAUUGUGGUUUAGAGAUGAAUUCAUGUUAGUCCCUAAACUUUCAAUUUCAUCAGAUUACCCCCCGAGCUCUUGUUUUUCUGGUAAUUUAGCUUCUCAACCCCCAAAACGUUAUCAAACAUCAUCAAAUUUCAAUGUCCCAAUUGGACAGAGCAUGAGUAAUAGGAGACGGCAGACAGAAAAACAAGAGCUCGGGGGGUAAUCUAAUGAAAUUGAAAGUUUAGGGAUUAAGAUGAAUUCACCUCUAAACCACAGUGGGGUAAACUGAAUUUAAUUCAUAUAUACAUAUAUAUAUAUAUAUACAGAUUUUUCUCAGAUGCGGAUGUCCGUAUUUAUUCUUACGAUGCGGAUUUCCGCUUUACACUCAUUUUUCAAUCGAAUUUUCACAUCUCCACUGUCCAGUAUUUAUAUACUAAUGUAUAGAUCAUCUCUACAAAAUUUCAGCCAAUUUGGUUAUCAUUAAGGCACUUAAACUGUGUUUUUCUGUGGAUGAACAUAAUUCUGUCAAACUUGAACCGUUCAUGUUUAUAACAGAAAAACGCAGUUUUGAGUGUCUUAGUGAUAACCAAAUUAGCUGAAAUUUGGCAUAGAUGAUCUAUACAUUAGUAUCUAAAUACUAGACGGUAGAGAUGUGAAAAUUCGAUUGAAAAGUGUGUAAAGUGAAAAUCUGCACCGUAAGAAUAUAUAGCGCUUCUCAGGUGUGGACGUCCGCAUUUAUUCUUACGGUGCAGAUUUCCACUAUAUAUAUAUAUAUAUAGCGCUAUAUAUAUAUCAUAUAUUUUUUAUGAAAAGUUUACCAUUUAUUGUUUUUCUCUUAGGUUGGUUUACUGGGUUCAGCACCCACCCUCCAAACUGAUCUCAAUCGGAUUGCUGAAACCGCAGAUACUUCAACCUCUAAGGGUUGGAGCAAUGUUUUGGCAGGUAAAUACAAUAUUUAUUAGUUCCCCUCUUCUCUUCUCAUCAUGCAAAGAGGAUUAUUGAUUAGCUAGUGAUCUUGUAAAGCUUCUGUCUGGUUUAAACCACAUGGACAAAGAGUUUAUAGUCUCUUCUCAUUUGUUCUUGAUUUACUUUUCGUUAAACAUAGGUUACUAUAUGUUUAAUUUGUUGUUUGCUAGGAAAUCUAUUGGAUGGGGUUGUCUACCGAGAAAUUUACACAUUGAUUUCAUAUAUAUACUUAAGCGAAAAUUACAACAAUCACCGCAACUGACGUACGUAGUGGUUUUUGCCUAGUUAAGUGUGUUCUCUAACCUAGGCUCAAACUUUGAAGCUGUCAAAGGGACCAGAUACUGUGCCAAGUGAUUAACUUGUGGGUCCAAUUAGAAUAGCAAAUAUUUUGAACCAACUUUACUACAUUGGCAACAAAUUUAAUACAUUCGUAAUACACUAUUUACAUUAUUAUUAAUUUCAAAUUAAUGCCCGGUUCUUGAAUUUACUUUUACCUUUCCCUUUUUUUGGCAGGAGCAACAACAAGUUUUCUUCAGAAUCUUGAGUAUUGCAUCUCAGGUUAUUCAUCAGUAAGUCAGUAUAUCUUCUCAUGUGGAAAAUAUGAGUAAAUGCGUUGAUAUAUAUACAUGGAUCACAUUAGAAAUAAAACUAGAUUUAGAUAUAGAAAUGUCAAGGGACAUGAAUUAUGAUUUUCGCAUGCUUGUAGGUGGCUCUAAAUCAAACCAUUAGGGAAGCAGAGAUAAACUUCAAUCAAUUGUCCAUCACAGAAAGGGCCGUAUGUGAUAAAGAAACGCUUGUGAAUGUGAACAACAAAAAAGUGAAAGAUUCAACCAGCAAGGCAGCUACUGGAUCCCAGAGUGAAUAUAUAGCGGUAUGGCCGACAUAACCUGUGUCAUAUAUAUAUAAUGCAUUUUCUCCAUCUAGCGCCCAGGAUUUUGAUUUAGGUACAAGGUUUUCUUAUAGGUCAUUUUGGUUUAAACAGCUAGUAAUUGGAGAAUUUCAUAGAUAGCUUUUCAACUAGUGUUCAUUUCGUAUCCAGAGUUGGCCAGUUUCAGCCUCGUUUUGGAUAUUGGAGCGUAACAUUCAUAUUUAACCGACUUUACUUUGAUGAUCAGGUUACAAUACUGGUGGCGACUCGAGGAUUGUAUAAGCUGCCAACAGUUGAUGACAGUAGUACCUUGAAGCAAGGAUUGCAAAACCUCAAAUCCAUUCCCUCAAACAAUAUAUUGGUAUGGAAGAAUUGAUACUUUUAGUAGAUUCUAAGUUUCACCUCAAGAUACAACUGAUUUCUUGUUCUUGUUUCUGCAGUCGGUAGAAGUCUUGUGGACUCCUCAAGAAGAAGAUGACAAUCUCUCAGAACUGCAAUUACUCAAAAAGUACCCUCUUUUGAAGCCGUUUAAAGAUUAUCCAUUUGUUAAAAUUACGUUAGAGUGAGCUAAACAGUAUGAUUGAUCGAUGCGCGCACCUUCUUGGAAUAGUGUUCUAUCAAAUUAACCUACUGUGCUCUAAUCAGGGGGCGCACAAUUUCAUCUUGUAUUUCUCGUCAGAUGAUACCAUAUGCUCUUGGUAUGAGAUAGAGAUUUUAUCAGAAUGUAUGAUCGACAUUUUCAUUUUUAACGAUUGUAAUUUGUAAAGCAAUUAAGCAAGAGUAAUGGAAAGUUUUCAUUUCGAACACUUCUGUUUGUUUUACUUGUGAACAUACGAAGGAAGAGACAUUGGACCGGAAAUAUCCAUUACAUAGUAUAGAAAAAACUCAAAAAAGGAAAUUACAUUGUAUAGAGGAAAGCACAAGAAUGAAUCAUCAAGAGAUUGUAUUAUCUAAUUCAGCAAUACUAAAAGAAUUUGGGGAAAAAUGGUCAGUAUAUUACCUAAUUAAGGUAUGUGAUACAAUUUGGAUGGCUUGAGAUUAUCAGUGACAUUGAAGUAUUUCAACGUCCGAAUCCACUUCUCCUGAGUCUUCAACAAAUGAACUGCAAUCGUUUCCGGCCAAAGCUCAUGAGUACAUGUUGUAGGUGGCUCAGGAAAAUUGUACAUCCCCCACUUAGCGUUGAACCUAUUCUUAGCACGAUGCCCAUUUCUAAUCCACUCGCCAAAAACUUUAUCCUCGGGGCCUUCCAACUGAUUCUUGGGGAUAUCCGAGUCUCUGAUCCACUCAACUAUAUCCCAAGAUAUCAAGUACCCCAUUCCAGACAUGUAAUGCACAUAAGGGUCCAUGCUUGGGCAUGGAAUGACAUAGCCAUAGUACAAGUCUUCUCUAGGCAAAGGCUUCAAAGAGUCGACCAAGCUUUGAAGCCGAAAGUAAGCAUCAUCAUCGGCUUUCAUUACAUAAUGGUAAGGUGGAUACACCCCAUCUGUGUUGUUGAAAAUCUCCGGCAAGCUUGAAAAGUAUGUGUAAGUCUUGCCCUUGUUCAUAUUCUCCUGGCAAUUCAGUAUAAUAAUGUCAUUGUAACGCAUUAUUUCUAAUGCAACGAGUACCUUCUGGUCUUCCUUUGUGAGGUUGCAGAACACAAACUUCACGUCCACUUUAGCCCCCACCGGAUUCUGAGUGCCAUAGAUUAAACGCAGGAAGUGUCGGCGUUGGUAUUGAUCUGGAAGGGUUAGAAUGCCAAACAGUACACGAAUUUCAUCUUCAGAGGAAGUCUUCUGGGUUUCGAUCAAGGUGCUCGAUGAGGACUUGUAUAUCUCAGAAGGAGAGUUGAUUUUUGUAAGAGCACAGCGACCAAACUUCAGAAGACUAUCAAACCUUAAUUCGUUUAUAGAAGCCAAGGCACAGAGGAAACAAAUGAAGAAGAAAGAAGAAAUGAUGAACCGUCGCCGGUCUGACUUUGAAGUCUUCAUUGUGAUUUGGUUCUUGGAGCCUGGAAGAGAGAUGUUGUUGAGGAUUGUAAUGUAUGAAGUUUUCCAAUGCAAGAGUGAUACUAAUAAAUUACAAGCUUUCUUUGAGGGAAAGCAUCAGUUGUCAUUUUCGUGCAACUGAGACUAAUACUUGGACUUUCGUUGCUGCAAGGAUUAAAGAACGUGGUGUUAGGAUAAAGCUUAAGUUUAGGGAAUUGACCUCUCUAUCCAAGGAACAUGAGGUGCGUUAUGACAUUUUGAUACUCUAUUUAUUGUCGAAUUUAUUUUUUGAUGGAGUUAUUUAUAUGUUAAAUUCAGUUUUUACUUUGAAAAAUGUUUUCACAUUUAUUUGUGUAACUUAUAUUAACUUUAUUUUGUUUUGGUUUGUUGUAACUUGUAACUUAUAAUGUUAGGUCACAUAAAAAAAACUUAUAAUGUUAGGUUAUUAUCGUGUUAAUUAUGAGAAGUGUCCUACUAGCCUAUAUAUACCAUGAUGUGUUGCAUGAAAAGAUGCACAAUAACAACAUAUUCACCCAUCAAUGAAAUUCCUAAAUUAUCUUGUGUUUAUUAUUCGGUCAAAGAAAUGUGUUAUUUUAGUGGAGCUUUGAGUUCCUCCAAUUUAUACAGAUUGGUACAAGUCAUAUAGUUUGUUGGUGGACUGUUGUAUCCUGGAUGAAACAAGUUAAGAGAUUUCUGGUGUACCGAUAUUAUUGUGCAAAGGCUUAAAUAUUCUUGAAAAAAAAAGAGAGAUACGCGCCUAAAGUUUCUAAAAUUAUAGUUAUAAUGUUUAUUCUAAUUUCAGCAACACUUCAUUUUAGUAGUGAAGGAGAAUUUCGGAGUUUUUGGUCUUUUGGCAACUAGAGCUUUCUCCAAUACAGGGCUGGUAUCCAGGAAAUACAAAUAAUGGUUGGGAGGCACUAAGGGGAAUGGUGGAGUUGAGCCUAAAAUUAGCUCGAGUCACUUUAUAUGACUAUUUGCUUGAACAUGGCCAAAGUGAUUUAGUCAACUUUUCGUAAGUAGGUAUUUUUGCAUGUACACGGUAGUGAGUCGGCUUCAGAGGACCUUGAGAUAAACGUAGAGCUCACCAUACUUGAAUUUGAAGCAACACCGUCGACCCUGAUGCUUUGAAAUCAGACACCAGAAAAGUGAGAUAUGUAGUGAUCCAAGAACACGAUGGAGUAUUGCAUGUGGUACUAGAAUUGAAGAAAAACGAGUGUUAAAACAUUGAACAAUACCACACAUCAUUCAGUCUAUUUAAAUUUUUGGUACUUUUAACUAUAAAAAUACCAUAUUGUAAUGUUAAAAUAUUGUGAUCAUAAGUCAGAACCUGAUUAAUGAGUAGAGGAUCUGGAAUACGUAUUGCAGAAAUUUCAGAUUUGGCUAACCCCUACGCUGGUGAAUUUAGCUCGGAACAUGUUCCAGAUCAGCCAAUAUAAAACUAGAGAGGUGAAGAGAGAAGGGAGAUUAAUGAGUAGAACAAAAAUAUAUGCAUUAUUUGAAGCGUUGAGAAAUGAAAAUAGCAUUUAACCUAACAACCAGAGUCUCACGUUAGACUUCCCAAACAAUAUCAAUACUGAAAUUUAGUGCAUAGCUUUUGCCUUUCACUAAUUAAUAAGAUUUCAACAACUAUACUGAGAUUCUCCUACAACAUUAGUAAAGGUUAUGGGAAGGCAAGGCAAGGAUCUGGAAUUAAAGUUAUAUACAGUGUUUAGUUUCGCUCAACUCAAUAUGAUUAUGCUACUAUCACAUCUCCCCUUUCAUUAAAUACACAUCAUCUUCAAUUUUUCAUCGAGGAGUUGUAAUUCUACAACAAUCCAUCUCUAAUCUGAAAAUCUGGGCAUCUUCAACAGUUUUUACUUUUUAAAUUACGCUGGGGUGUGCCUUGAUUUUGACACAUAAACAGAGGAUGUACUUUGUUGGACAACAAAUGACAACAUAAAUUUACGAUGUACCUUUUGGCACAAGAAAUAUAUUUCUGUGUGGAAGUAGGAAAGACAUCAUAUAUGCCUCAGGCUGACCAGCUCGAUAUCAAAUACAAGCGUUCCUAAAGUUGAACCUUCUCCAUUAGCAAGACGAGUUGGAUUGAAGAUGGUUGUAAACAGUCUCUGCCUGUCAAAAAACUGAUAAAAAAAAAUUAUAAUUAAAAAAAAAAAAAAACCACAACGAAAAGAGAAACCCUGAGAUUUGAGUACCAAGGGCAGAAUCAUGAUGGAAAAAAAAAAAAAAAAAACUUUAAUAGCAAAAUACAACAUGCAAGACUUUGUUUAUUUUCUGUAAAUAUACAGACAAAGAUACACGUAUAGCAUGUGUGAUGUAAUAUGUAUCUCGCUAGCUCAUGAUGUUGAAUUAGCUCAUUAGUAAUUUCCAGGCAACCAUAUAUACUGUUCAAUACCACUAAUGCAAAGUUUACUCGAGGCAGAGACAAGUACCUCUCUCAUGCACUCCCUCACUUUCACACACAACCCUGGCAAGGCUGCCAAGUCAUGUACCAUCUAUUUCACUACUCAAGACACCACCUUUCAUAUCCUUAUAAUGUUCUAUUGUUCACUACAACUCCCGUCUAUCCUUCAAUUAAGUGGAUGAUUACUUUCUAAAGUCCCCUUUAAAACACAUUAUAGAAAGCAAACAAGAAAUAAGUAUUCUGACACUACUGGUAGCUUCUAUUUUGUUCAGACACAGGAUAUGGGCACACCUUUACGAGAGUAAAUUUACAAAGAUAGCAGGCAUUAUAAAAUCUGGAGGAACAAGAGAAAGUACAUUGGGUGGUAUGGGUUCUUGUGAUGUGCUCUGAUAUCCUUGCGACGGUGGUAUAACGAUCCUACGAAGACCACCCACUUUCAUAGAUUUCACAGCAGUUUCAAUCCCUGAAAUAACCUACAUAUACAUUCACAGCAUGAGUGUCAAGAGAUUACCAUACUAGAAAAUUUGAAGAGAACCUUAAGAAAAUAUCUAAAGGUAAAAGUGGGACGUGUCCAAUUGGUUACAUAAAAUCAUAAACUAUUCAGUAAUAUGUGUGCAAAGGAAAAUAGGUACUUGUACAGAAAGAAGACUUUGGGACAGAUAUACUAAAAAAACCAUGUGAUAACUUAUAAUUAGUUCUUUUCAGUCACUGAUGACAUUCAUACAAAUUUUGGGGCAAGGAUAAGAACUUUCUUCCUGCUGGAGGACAAUGCUGAGGAUACUACGUACUAUGACACCAAAAACAAAGUUCCAAAUUAAUCAUAGAUGGAUCAUGGAAGUAUGAACACAAGCAUUAGGAGAAAUUUGAACCACAAAACAGUCUUUUUAGAUGGAGACCUGAACAACUAAUAACACAAAAUUGAACUGGUCAUUUUGUCAAAAUGUAUUUCCUCUUAGCUCAUACUAACUCCAGCCACAAAUAGUACAUCAAUUAGUAGGUUUUCAAAUUAAAAUGAAUUUAAAGGGAAACUCUAGUAUCAAUGUUGAGUUGGUUAGCUUGAGCAAUAAAUGAAGAAGUUGUUAUUCUCAAACGAUACUUUGACACCCAUAUGCCAGAAGGUAACCAGCAAGUUUAGACUACUUUCAGGGAAUAAGGUCUUUUUCCACAGUUGUUGUUUCCCAUCAAAGCAUACCUUGCGUAAGUACGUUUUUAUUUGAGGAAUUACAAUAUUUAUAUUUUAAGUUUAAAGCACGGAAGAUUCAAGUAUAAAUGCAGAACUAUCAUACAAUAUAGAUUCCAUGAUGACUGAUGCCUCAUUGUUAACUGGGCAUGCUGCCUAUUAAUAAGAACUGGAAAAGAAGAGGAUUAUACGGAAAAUUCAAUACAUUACUAACUAAUGCUGCAUUGCGUAGAAUGAAGAUCAUGUACGUUAUGUAGACAUCUUGUUAAGAUCAGGAUGGAUCAAUGGAAUGUGAAAAAAACAACUACAUCUUUUGCUUUUUGCUUUGUAGAAUAAUGAUACAGUACAACGUUGCAAAAGGUCUAUGUAAACAGAUUGUUAAGAUCAGAAUGGAUCAAAGUAAUACAAAACAACACUAACGUCUUUAAUUUUCUCUGUAUAAUAAUAAUAUACAGCACAAAAUUGUGAAAGAUAGAACUAGUAGUGAUGUUGAAUAUUGUUUAGCAAACAAGAAGUAGACAAUGAUAAAGACUAGCAUAUCAUAAUAAUGGCUUAUUGACAUGAGGACUUACUUUCCCAGACCCAACCACGAAUACAAAAGGAGUCGGUUCACCAUUUUCAUCUUUGUGAUCAUAUGUUGAGUCAAAGCGCCAUCCUUGUUUUGCUGCCAACCUUCCAUAGUAAUGAACAGAGACCUACACAACCAAAUUACAAUGUAAGCCAGAUAUUAAAGUAUUGCAAACACUGCAAGAGUUUUCUGUAUCAAAUUUUCCUACAAGUUUGACAUUGAUAUGCACAUUAUGCAGUUCUAUUUGAAUUGAUUCACUUUCUCAAUUGUUACAAAACAUAAAAGUACAGGGUUUUACAAAUGAAACAUAACAGCACACAACAACAUAAGAUUCACCAAUCAGUUUUCUGUUGUUGGCUUCUAUAAAGCAACCAUUACCAUCCAAAUUUCACACAAGCAAGCAGUAGUAAUCAGUCAUUAUCAUUUGGUAAAAAGUAAGAAUCCCAGACGUAUAUGUAGCCACCUACCCAUCAACCCCUUAUCUCAAUCUUGACCAAAUGCCAUACCACUCGUGUUAUGUGAAGGAGAGAGAGUAAGAUAACCUGGUCGCCAUUGGAGGGUACUUCACCAGUACCAACACGAAGGUCCAAAGCCUUGACGCCACCAGAGUUAGGGAGUUUCAAGAAUUCAGCUGCGGCGGAGUUUGAAGGAGUAGACACGGUAAAGCCCAAUGUGGUGGAGAUUAAAGCAGUCGAUAAAACUACCCUUCUAGUUAAACUGGAUGGCGAUGAAGUUGCGGAGGUGAUGUUGGGAAGAACUGAACGCACUGUUGAAUGGUCGGGAGCAAAAGAGCAUCCUAAUGCUGCGGAGUAUUGGAGCAUCAUCUUCUUAGUUUUUUAAUCUAAAUGAAAAGAGGAAGAGCUGUGGCCUGUCAUGUGGGAUCAAUUUCUGUUCAUUUCAUUUUUGUUUUUUUUUAUUUUUCAUCUUUUUUUAAGAAAACAUUUCGUUUGUUGUUUGACUUGCUUCUCCUGUUAAAAGUUAAAACUCAAAUAAUAGGUAUGGAUGUAUUUUUUUUUUUUUUUUAAUGAAAACAACAACGUAAAGUGGUAGACUAUUUUUUCUUUUUUCAAUCAAAGAAACAUCAAGCCUUAUACUAAAUGAAUGUCAAAUAACAAUAUGAAUACGAUCUGCUCGUAAACGCCACAUAAGAAUGUAACCUAGACCAUUUCUAGGUUGAAUCCCAUAAAGUGAAGAGCAACAAGAAUGAGGAACCUAAACAUGUUAAGCAUGCCUAACUUAUUCAUGAAGCCAGAACCACCCUACAUAGAGGGGAUCUCCCCGGAACAGCAACCAAGAGAACCUCAAGAGACCAUAAGAUUUCAAAAAACUGGAUCACACUACCAAAAGAAAGGCUUUAGCCGACGAAAAUAAAAAAACCAGGCCGACAAAUUAUUUUUUCGUCGGCUAACGUGGACUUUAGCCGACGAAACUUUCUUUCGUCGGCUUUGGUCAACUUUAGACGACGAAAUUAAAAUUUCGUCGUUUGAAUUUCGUCGGCUAUAGUCUGUGAACUUUAGCCAACGAAAUUUUUAAAAGUUUAGCCGACGGAAAAUAUAAUUUCGUCGGCUAAAGUGCCUUAUAUUUACAGAUCUAGACAACAACUCAUCUGGGAAAAAGAAACUAUACGUAGAACCUUCAAAUGCAAAAAAGUCAUGAAAUAAGAUAUGACCAGAAUGGUGAAAUACGUCUACGGUUGAAAAAACACGGUAUUUCGGUAAAGUCUCGGUGCCGAUAGUUGCGGUCAAUGCAAUUUACUUUUAUUAUUCACUAUGCUGCAGAUUUGGCGUUUGGUGUCCGAUUGACUAUAAUGAUACCUUUCCAGAAGCGUAACGGCCCUACGAGUCAAACUCAUCACUUUGUUAUGACACAUGGGCCUUUUUGGCCAUCCGAGUCCGUUUAGGGCUUCAAAAUGCAGUUUUCUUAUUUCCGAUUAGAGUUGACCGUUUCGAUUGAGCCCUUAACGUUUUCGAAUCUAGUUGAAUUUUUUACCAUAGACAUAUUUCGUCAUAAUGAUCAUAUCUGACGGUCAAAUUUUGGUUUGUAAAUUUUAGUCAUCGAAAUCACAACGUGUCUACUAUUUACCAUUAUUAUUCCCUAUAGGGAGCCCUAUCGUCAGAAGGUAAAUGUCUCAAAAUUUUUAUAUGGGCAGUUGCGUCUCAUCUACGUGAGAGUUUUUCGUGUGGAAGGUUUGACCAAACUACGUAAUAUAGAGGGAGAUAUGAGCGUUUUCGUGUGAUAAGUGACGAUGGAUUAGGGUUGACCAUUUCGAUCGAGCCCUUAACGUUGUCGGAUCCAAUUGAAUUUUUUAUCAUAGACAUCUUUCGUCAUAAUGAUCAUAUCUGACGGUCAAAUUUUGGUUUGUGAAUUUUAUUCAUCGGAAUCAUAACGUGUCUACUAAUGUUGUAUAACUUGUUUAGUAGGUUAUACAAUUUUGUGAACCAACUCUACAUAGGAAGCAAAAUUAUCAAAAAUCUCGUGAAAUAAGAUGUGUUCAUAUUGGUGAAAUACGGCUAUGGUUCAAAAAUCACCUAAAUUGGGUAACGUCUCGGUGCCGAUAGUAGCGGUCAACCCUAUUUAUAGUUAUUAUUCACUAUGGGAAGCCCUAUCGUCGGAAGGUAAAUGUCUCAAAAUUUUUAUAUAAGCGGUUGCGUCUCAUCUACGUGAAAGUUUUUCGUGUGGAAGGUUUGACCAAACUACGUAAUAUAGAGGGAGAUAUGAGCGUUUUCGUGAAUUUAUAGACUUUAGCCGACGAGAUAUUAAAAAAGUUGUCAGCUAAGGUCAAAAUUUUUUUGGCGGUAAACCAAAUUUGGAGGAAAAUUUUCAAAAGACUUUAGCCAACGAAAAUAUAUGAAAAGUCGUCGGCUAAAGUCGAAAAAUUUUCAACCAAAAUUUUCAAAAGAGUUUAGCUAACGAAAAUAAAGAAUUUUGUCGGGUAAAGUUCUUUAUAUAGGAGUUUUACCGGAGGUGGAUGGUAAGAAGUCAGAAAAUCAGAAAAAUGCCGGAUUUUCUUCUCGACCUAGCUCCGCCGUCAAGCCACCGGAGACCGCCACACUUGUCCCAAAAGCUUCGCCGUCGUGUUUACUUCAUUGCUAGACAGGUGGUGCAUCGAGUGGCGCCGCCGUGAGGGAUAAAUGGAGCUCCAAAACUCCGCCGGUUCGGAUUCGGUGUCGAUCGAAUUUCUCCUUCCUCAAGUCACUAUUUGGUGAGUUCUAUAUAUGGAUAAGUUGAGUUUGAUUAGUACUACAUUCCUCUAGAAUUUGAUAGCUGGAUUCGGUGUGUGUGAGGAGAAUCGAAGAUUUGAAGUUUUUAGGGUUUAAAAUUAGAGAUUUUUAUAUUUUGAUUCAAUUGACCCGUUUAGGCUUAGAAUUGGGCUUUGACUUCUUCUAGAAAGUUGUUCGAAAUGUUGAGAGGAAGAUUCUAUCAAAUUUUGGUGGUGAUUGGAGGAGGCCGAAAGUUUCUGCAGUUUUUUUUUUUUUCAAAAACCAGCAACUUUAGCCGACGAUAUUUAAAUACUAUAUUCGUCGGCUAUAGUAUUUUUAAUUUUUUUUAUAAGGUUUAGCCGACGAAUUAUGGCAUGUUUCGUCGGCUAUAGUUAUUUUUUAAAAUUUUUUUAUAAGGUUUAGUCGACGAAACAGACUAUAUUUCGUCGGCUAUAGUAAUUUUUUUAAUUUUUUUAUAAGGUUUAGCCGACGAAUAUCUUAAUUGUUUUAUCGGCUAAAGUCUGUGAAAAAAACCGACGACAUGUUUUUCGUCGGCUAAACUGUGGGACUAUAGCCGACGACAUCUUUUUUUUUCGUCGGCUAAAGUUGUCAGGACCCACCCCGAAUUUCACCCUGAAACCCGAAGUAAAUCCUGCGGGGACCACCUCCAAGGAAAGUUUACCGAAAAUUCGGCAUAACCUCCCUUGAAAAUGGACAACCCUUCCUAAUAAUACCUGCAAACACUUCUGAAAAAUCCAAAUCCAUCCUUUAACUCCUGGAGCCUUCGUGCUCCCCAAAACAUAACAUCUCCCAAUUAUUUACUAAUUUUAAUAAGAAAACUAACAACCAACAGUCACUAGUUCAGAGCAACUCUAAUAUAGGAGAAAAGGACUAUAAUUAUAAAUGUGAACGGGAGCUAUACUAUCGACUAUGUCUCACCUCCAUGUACGCCCGAACUCAACUAUGCAAACCUGACAACUGGGCAUUUUAAAACGAAGGGCCCAGGGGAAAACAUUUAAAACACGUUAGAGUGAGUGGACAAAAUAAUUUAAUAAGAAUAUUUAUGCAUUCCCAUUUUAAUUUCCAAAGAAAAUAUACUGCAUGCGGCAGCUCAAAAGCGCUCAACACAAAAAUUGGCAAUUUCAUGAUUAGCUCCGGCCAGUCUCUAAAGCUUAAAAAAAUACAGCCUCUCAGGCUAAAAUAAAAUAUGUAUGUAUUACACUCAUCAUAUCCCUUGUAUGAAUUUUCUUGAAACAACAAAGACAAAUAGAAAAUUCACACAAGGCUACGACGCUUGCGUCUAACGCUCACGUCGCACCAUAAUGACAUUUUACCUCAUUAUGGUGGAAAAGACGGUGUAUAAAUAUACGCGCAUAUCCCCUAUAUAAAUUAUUAUAUUUAUAUAGGGCUACGACGAUUGCGUCUAACGCUCAUGUCGCACCAUAAUGGAAUUUUACCUCAGUAUGGUGGAAAAGCACGUAUAGCUAGCUAGCAUUCUCUCAUAUACAUAUUAUUCUCAUAAUCAUCCACAUAUGGAUAUAUAUAUAUAUACUCACCGAAAUUCUCAAUUUCGGUUAUUCUCCAACAACAUAAAUUAUUUCGCAUGCACAUUAUUUAAAACAAAAGUCCACUCACAGUAUUAGGCUUAAGCCUUCCAAUGCUCGGAAUACUCCUCGAGCGCUGCCUCCAACUAAUCACACUCUCUAGCCAAAUCCCACGUCUGACGAUAAACAGAAGAAUAAAUUUGUCAGACCGGACUCCAAAAUAAUCAUUGAUUGGACUUCGUCCGAAUUCGACUAGGUUUCCCUAGGUUGACCAGGAUUGACCAAAUGAUUAAAUAUUAUUUUUAACCAAUUUCACAUCCAGAACUCAUUUUGCUCAAGUGCCGUAACCUCAACUUGGAAAUCAAGUUCUCAUUGAAUUUCCAAGCCUAUAGCAUGACAACCCAUCUAAUUCACCAUUCUGCCAAGUAAUAAAAUAAACGCAAAAUCACUAUGGACACCCAUAGUAUAAUUUAGCUCAUUUUAAAAUCAAACUAGAGUCUACCUCAUUCUCUACUUAAUGCUUUUAAACAAGCUGCAAUUACCAACGAUUUCACUCUUUCCCUACUAUCCAACUUCACAUUAUGCCUAGACUUUCAAAACCACAAUUUUAAACUCCAACAUCAAUUCCUCUUAAGGCAUCAAUAUCAUUUAUCAGACUCAAAACUACCUUAACAACUCUCAGCCGGAUAUGAUGCCUCGUCAGAACCCCUUGCUGGAUUCCGGCCACUUGCCGGAAUUUCGCCAUGACCUCCCCGCCUUCUUCAAAAACACCAAGUUCUCGACAACAAGCAACAAAACCCAAUAUUAAACACCAAUCCACCAUAUCACAAAAAUACAGAACAUUUCAAUCACCCAACCGAGCAAAAACUUAAGAGAUUUCUCACCUUGCUAGCACCUUUGCCGGACUGAGUUCAUUGUCAGCCAAUACAGCUACUGCAAACCGUGGCUUUCAACAACACACAAGCUCACCAACGCCUCCAACACCACGGCAGCAACACCCUAAGCUUCUGCUCCGCUCCCAAAUCACGCUUGCUGCUCUUAAAUCCCUACAAGGCGCAACUAAGCUCUACUCAACUGCUCCUAGACUCACCGGAGCUCAGAAGUCUCGCCGGAGCUCCAAGAACAACCCACCAGAAAAACUCGACGAAAACCUAGGAACACCAAAGAGGGCUCUCCGAAUUCGAACUCAAUUUGAAGAGUGAAAAGCAUAGAAAGAAAGAAGAAAGAAAGAGGAGAAGAACCCUACCGAUCAUUGUCGUUGUCGCUGCCGGAGCUCGCCGGAAACGGCGAACACAGCCGUGCUCCUCUUCGUUGAUAUGCUCUAAGAUUGGAGUUUCAAGUGAGUUUAAAGGGUCGGCUAGGAAGAGAAGGAGAAGAGGAUCACUUUGGUGGCAGUCCCGUCGCCAGGGUGGCCGGACGGCCAAGUUUCCGGUCGGAGAAGCUGUGGCUGCGGUGAGAGAGAGAGGAAGGAGAGAGACUCGGGUCAAAGCCGAGAUGGGUCUUUGACCGAAAGUCAGCCUUUCAAUUCUCCUUACGCUUUAAUCGACGGCGAUGAUAAAAAAAAAAAGAAACCCUAGUUGAUCAAAUAGCCCAGAUUGAAUUUCAGGAAACAAUCUUUUUAUCAAACUUCGAUAAAACGUAGAAAUAGCUCGAAGCUCCAAAAAAUAAAUCCGAGGACAUUGGUGAAUUUGUAUCGUCGCGUGCUACGACACCAGGGCUGUAAAAGAAGAGUUUAACAUUUUGAGAAAAACUCGAAAAUAAACUCGAGUUUUAAAUUACCGAGCAUGGUUAAAUUCCUCAAUAACUCGUAGAAUACCCAGUAAAUAGGUAAAAUUUGGUCCGGGGUGUUACAAAAGUCAUCACCGACGACCUUUUCCCGACGAAAUCUUAGCCGACGAGCCGACGAAUUAAGCUAACAGGCCGACGAAACUUUUUCGUCGGCUAAAGUGCUUGUCCUGGUAGUGUCAGCCCAAAGUGACCAAUAAUCAACACCUAACCAAAGCCCAACACAACCUUUGCACCCCUAGCUUCAAACAAGGCCCAAAGCCCAAACAUGACAAAAGAAACCCUAAGCUUAUACUGCCAACCAUCAUCGACACACCACCAUCACCAGCGGCGGAGCUGACUAUAACCUUAAGGCCUUUAUCACCAAUAAAAAACUCAGUCGGAGAAACACCCACAGCGGCGAGUCCAUAAGCCCAUCAUCAAUGCGUCUCUGAUUCUUUUCAACUGGCACAGCCACCACUCUAAUCCAACCAUUGACGUCUUUGUCUUCUGACGUCAACGGAGAACUCACGAGGCCUCCAAACCACCUUUGCAGUUUCAAACCCGAGCCAAGACCCCAAAUCUCAGCCACCAUUGUUGCAAGUUGAGAAUCAUUCAAGCCCAAAUAACAAUCAUCUUCUUCGCCUCUACUAAAGAAUGAGAAGAAGAGACAGGGAGAGCCGUGACAAUCCCGAUGCCUGACGCUAGCCGGGGCUACCUGACAUCACAAAGUUGUUGCCGCCACCAUCCCAACACCCACCAGUGCCAUAAAAAAGGAUGAGAGAUAGGGUAUGGGCGAGAGAGAGAGAGGAGACAAGCCAAUAAAAAAGUCUUGAAUAUCGACUCUUCAGUUUUUGAGGCAAGUGUUGUAGACAGUUAUUUCACAAAAAUAUAGAGAAAUUUUUUCUUUCUUUUACACAUGAGUCCUUAAAUUGUAGAUUGUUGGGUCAAAUACUAUAUAGUUCUUUUGGUUUGAAGUCGACAUUUGUUUAGUGUUUGUGAUUUAAUUUUAAUCUGAAUAGUUCUUAAAGUCACGAUUUUCCUUCUAAAUAGUCAUUCGGUCAAUUUUUUCAGUUAGAAAAAUUGUCAUGAUCGUAAGAAACCAGAGUAGGGCUGAGAGAGAGAGAGUGUCAAGACCCACCCUAAAUUUUACCCUAAAACCUAGAGUAAUGUCACAACCCAACCCGAGUUAUGACUAGAUAAUGUGGUGGAAAGAUAAAUUAGGAAUCAGUCCAAGGUGUUUUUUUUUUUUUUUAAUUGGAAUAUGGAGCAAGAAUGAAACAGAACUACUCUGGGUUCUGAAAUUACAGGUCUGGAAAUUGAGUGUUUAACUUCUCAAAGAAACUAAUCCAAGAGUGAUAUAUAAUCCGACUACAAGAGUUCCUACAAUAGAUAUGAGCCUUAAGUGUAAAAGGAUGAAUAAGUCGACAAGUUCUUAUAUAAGAGAAGUUUGUAGUCUGCAUAAUAAGAGGAACCAAGCUAAAGAUAGUAUUCAUAUACACUUGACACAUUCGUGUGACUGUGAUCAUUGUUCAAAUAGAAAGGUAUUUAAUUAGACAUUGAAGGGCAAAGGAAUUAACAUAGUUUCAUAUCAUAAUUCACAAGGGGCAAAUUGAUUACAAAGUUUCCACCACAUAUGAUACUAGAUACACCCAGGUUAGUACAUCAGUCGUGCACAUUUUAUGUACAAUACAGAGCUACUAAAACAACAAGAUAGGAGCUCUGAAAUGAUGAACACUUUUCAACAGCAUAUACACAUCUAACAAGCAAAAUAAUGUCCAUCAAAUUCUCCAAAAAAGCAAAACUAAGCUCCACACAUAAUCAACUCAAGAUAGUUCCAGAAUAUCACUAGUUUGUCCGUUCAUGGACUCAUUUCCUGAAAACCACAACAAAAAUACAAGGAAUGAGCUUCAAGCUCAGUAGGUACAGCAAACAGUCAUCAUAGCAAGGAUUCUAAAUCAGUAUGCAUCAGAAAAGUGAUGGAAGUGAAGUAGAAUUUACUGAGUUAACCAAAUUAAUUUUCAGCAGAUGAGAACAAUGACAAUAGCAGCUCAUACUUUUACAAUAGUAGACUCAGAGUAGGAUCAAAUCAUAGCUGAAUAGGAAGUAUAAACAUAAAAGAACCGAGGGCCAAAAUAUAUCAAACUGGUAAUAAACAUCUCAAUAAACUGGAAAGGGAGCAGUCCUGGUAAAACAAAUGAAAUCAGAACAAGACCAUAAAUAAAUUUCAGCUUCAGAUUUUAUAACAAAACCAGAAAUCACUCCUUUCACUCACUGCAACACAUCUGCAGUAUUUGCCAAUAACAAUUCAUUAACUCAAAUGUUAGCAAAUCCUUAAAAAUACCGGUUAGAGCCCACCGCCCAGCUAUACCACCGAGCAAACCCCGCACAUGCGGUACCCUGAUCAGGUUUAGGGUUAAAUAACCCAAGGGAGACACAAUCCCUACUCACACAAUUCACCGGGCCUAACCGAAUAAAAAAAAUAAACCAAAUCUGAUUUUUCAUGAAACACUUGUUUUUCCAAAUCAAAUCAAUCCUUCAAGGAUUUCCAAAGGAACUGAAAUGCCCUUUAAUAAUAGAGUGAAGUAUGUCAAGAAAUAGUACUUAAAGUUGAGCAACUUGCUGAGGAAGUAGAGCAUUAGAAACUUAGAAAACUUGUAAAUUAUAUCAAUAGAGAUACAUGAGCUUGGAAUUUCAAACAAUGCCGAAUGAGUUUCAAAUACAGAUGUGUUAAAAAGAAUAAUAUAAUAAACUCAGCUUUUGGCUUAUAAUAACACAGAGCAUAGCAGAGAUAAAACAAUAGCAACAUUGUACUCGAGGAAGCUUUGUUGUGAAUAGAAGUUGGUACUUAGAAAGAAUAACAAGAAAAGGGGCAAAGUCUUUGUAGUAAUCAAAUUAGAGAUAAUGAUUUCAUUGAGGGAAGAGUUUAUUUGUUGUUCAGUAAGGUUGGUCAUCAAGAAUACUUGAUUUACUUUGAGAACUAAAAUAAAGAAUGGGGAUCCUUUAACACUAGAGAAAAUGAGACAAGGAUAGUGAAGGAUCAAACUCUAGGUAUCAAAUAAAAGAUGGCCUCAGGGCUCAGGAUAUUCAAAACUGAUUAUAAGGGAAAAGAGUUUUAACUUUCUCUUGAACAAAUUACAAUAUUAGAAAGAACUUGAUACAAGACAAAUUCUUGUACAAGAGAAAGGAAAGAUGGAUACACGGUUAUAAGGAUGUUGACAAAAGAGAGGUCAAGAAACUAGUUUACAAUUACUAAUUGAAUAUAGAUUGUAUCAACUUGAAUUGAUAGUUCACUGGUCGUGAUUCAUCUAACUGAAAAGAUACUAGGAUCACUAUCAUCUUGUAUAUAUAUAAAAGGACGGUUCCAAAAUCAAAACUGAAGAGCCAAGACCAAUCAGCUCGAACAAUAAUGAAUUCCCCUCAAGCUUGACAACUUACUGAUGAACCAAUAAAUACCCAGUUUUUUAAACGAGGCACAACACUCAGAGUAGAACAUCUUUUUCAGUCAAGCUUUAAUCAAACUCAAGCUUGAACAAUCAAUACAGUUCAACAGACAAGAAGAUUACACAGAACAAUAACGAAAGUAGAACAACCAUUCUUUCCAAACACACACCAAGAUAGAAUCAAAGCUAUAAAGAAAGGUCGCUUUCCCUACCUCAAUUUCCUACGAAUCAACUGCCAAACCAGCAAGAGAAAUCAAACAAAACAACCGCACAUAAGUACCCAAUCCACCAUAACGAUCUAGCCACCUAAAAAUGGAAUUUGGAUGCGAAUCAGACUCCCUUCUAUUUGGAAAUAGAUUAAUUGAAAACAAGUAAUGUUAUAGAAGAUUAGAAACAAGAGACUUACAGGAACUAAAUUCAGUUUAGAUGAGGAAACUGAACUCAGUAGAAUUUGCACAGUAUUUCAAAAGCCAAGCACAGCGGAAUUUGAGCAAGUGAAUGAAAUCGGGAACAAAGUAGAAGGAGAAAAGGGAAGAAUCAGGAGAGAGAGUUCGUGUAUGGCCAAGAUGUUAUCGUACCAGGAAUGAUUGAAUCAACGACCAGAAACCAACAACGUGUAUAAUUCUAGAAAGUGGCUGGACCCAUCCACACCCCAAAUCAGAUAUUUUCUCUAAAUUAAAUAACUAAAUAGUUAUAAACACAUGUAGUUCAGUUUGCACUCUAACGUGUAAUCCCUAACAAGCACAAAAUCACAUCUCACUUAGAGCACAGCAAACACACACAUAUGUACGAAAUAAAUAAUCUGAUAAAUAAUAAUCAAAAACUAUUUAAAAAAGAAUUUAAAUCGUCACAAGUAAGUCUUACGGGAACCACCUUCAAGGAAAAUUUACCGAAAAAUUCGGCAUAACAUCCCUUGAAAAUGGACAACCUUAUCCUGAAAAAAUUCAGAUAACACUCUUAUACCAAUACAUCCAACCUUAACACCUGGAGCCACCCGCUCCCCCACAACACAUCCAUCACACACAAAAAAUAAUAUCAUCUUCUAAUCCAACACAUAAAUAUCCAAUUUAUAUCAUACACCAUCCUUUGGAUAUCUCCCAAAUUAAUAAACAAAGACUUAGCACACAACCGAACUAUUAUACAAAUAAUCUCAAGGUAAUCAGAGCUACUAAACACUAGCGGAAGCAAAAAAAUAUGGUAGUAGGUUAACAUGUAACCUACUGAUGAAAGGUGGAAGAGAUGUGGGUAACUAUGCCUCCCCUCUAACUAGUGCCAACCGGAACUCUGCAAACUGGGCAUAUUAAAACGAAGGGCCCAAGGGAAAACAUUUGAAACCGUUAGAGUGAAUGGACAAAAAAUAAAUUAAUAAGUAAAAUAUUUAUGCAUUCCCAUUUUAAUUUCCAAAGAAAUUAUGCUGCAUGCGAAAAAUUCAAAAGCGCUCAACUCAUACCCUGGUAAUUUUAUGACUAGCUCUGGCUCGUCUCCAAACUCAAUAAACUGGAGCCUCUCAGGCUAAAGUACAUAUAAACAUAUAUGUGUAUGUAUUUACACUCGUCAGACUCCUUGUAUGAAUUCUAUGAACAAAUUAGAAAAGUAGAAAUUCAUACAAGGCUACGACGCUUGCGUCUAACGCUCACGUCGCGCUAUAAUGAAAUUUUUCCUCAUUAUGACCAAAGAGGACGGGUGUACAUAUACGCACUAGUGGAAAUAUCGACUUAGCCGACAGAAACAAUUCGUCGCCUAAGACCGCAUAUCCGUCGAUUACAAUCUUGGCCGACGAAUUAUCCGUCGUCUAACUUCCGUCGCCUAGGUGUCGUGAGGUAGACACUUAAGCGACGGAAAUUAAGUUAGUCGUCGACUAAGACCGAUCCAACCCGACGGACCCUUACCUGCCUUGUCGACAAACGGAAUCGUCGAUAAAACUCUCUAUCGACGGAAAGUUUUUGUCGGAAAUGUUCUUAGCCGACGAAUAUGAAAUUCCUCUUAACCGACGAAACUGUCGUCGGUAUGUAUGUUUACCGACGAAUAUAUGAUCGUUCUUAAGCGACGAAAAAUUUGUCGGUAUAGUUUUUGCCUGACGAAUGUGUAACUGUUCUUAGUCGACGAUUGAUCUUUGUAUUCGUCGGACAAGUUGUUUAUCUUAAGCGACGAAUGUCACUAUUUUCGUCGCCUAGGUAUUUUAUCUUAGGAGACGAAUGUUACUGUUCCGUGGCUUCGGUUGUUUAUCUUGGGCGACGAAGAUUACUAUUUCCGUCGUCCAAGACAAAUAUCUUGGGCGACGAAGGUUUCUGGUUCCGUCGCCUAAGAGAUUUUAAUUAGGGUGAAAAAACACUGAAUUUUGUUAUUUAUUUUUCUUUUUUGGGUUUCACUGUUUCCAAAAAUUACAAAUCAGUAACAAUAAUGAAACACAUACAGAUAAAUAUAUACCGAAAGCACUGGAUUUGGACCAUUUUUCAUAUAUUGAUCACAGAUGGACAAAUAUUAUUCAUAUAUACAAAAUAAUUAAUGAAUUAACUAGGUAGAAAAUUGUUCAUACAAUGUAUCUAAACUAUGAAUCUUCUACAAAAUCAAUAAUUCUAAGGACAUCCGUUGUCCAAUUCUAUAUUAUCGCCUAGAUCAUCAUUGUUUUGUGGGGAAACAUGUGGAGGAGGAGAAGCAUCUGGAGGUGGAGGAGGUAACUGUGGAGGAGGUGGAGGUGGCAUACCUAGGUGCUCAUAUAAGGCUGUAACUUGGGACUGCACAACAUUAUACAUAGACUCAGCACGCAAGGCACGCUACUGAACCUCUUGGAAUUGAUGUUGGGCACACUGGUGGACCUCUGUUAACUGUUGCUGGGCACGAUCCUCUGCUUCCUUUAGUCUUUGCUCAUAGCGUUGCUGCAUCUCUUGGAGUUGCUGCUCAUCAACUCUAGGAGGACGACUACGUGAAGUGGAACCAUUUGAAAAAUGGCUCAAGUCUCGCUCGCCUCCUCAUCCCAUCCCUUUGAUCUUCUUUCCUUUGCGAGUUUUGAGCACCGUACCCAACACCUCAAUUUGUUGGGACUGAACACUUUCCAUAAUCUGCUCCUCCGUCGCGUCAGGGUGUUGUUCCUUAAAUGCAUCCUUUCGUUUAUUGACCUCAUCAACCAUGUCAUUCUGCAUGCAUUUAAAAUACAUCAAUAAAGUUUCCAUAAUAAAGUUUACUGGUUGCAUAAUAAACAAAGAAGCUACUGGGGGUCAGUAAACUUGUAAUUCAUUAUCUCCCUUUCAGUUUCAUGGCCACAACACACAACAAAUACCCUAAUAAACAACUUUAUUGCUCCUUAGUAAACCCAAUGGAAGUUUACUGCCUUUACUGCCCCCCAGUAAACUUCUACUGGGGGUCAGCAAACUUGCAAUUCAUUAUCUCCCUUUCAAUUUCAUGGCCACAACACACAACAUAUACCCUAAUAAAUAUAUUUAUUAAUUGCUCCGUAGUAAACAACUUUAUUGCUCCCAAAAACUAGACAUAUUAAUUAAUGACAGUGAUAAUAACACUUUUUUUUUUUUGAAAGAAGCAGGAAAACAUGACAUUGUAAUUGGACAGUGCCUAGAUUCAACUUAAUGGUCUCAUAUAUAUACCAAUAGCCGGAUUUACACAUGCUUGAAGCAUUUGCUAAGCUUACAUAAAGUAAAAGGAAAUACACUUACAUAUUUCUUGGUCGUAUCUUCAUCACCGGCCCUAACAUAGGUCUUCUCAAAACUUUUGAUAAUUGGAAGCUGCUCCCCUUAUAUUCUGAGUUCCUCCAUUGUAUAGAUGAUAGGAGAAGAUCCCGUGUGGUGAUGCAUAGUCUUCUCCCCACGGUUCCGCUUGUUUGCCAAAGAGAGUCUCUAAUAUAUACACGAAAAAAUGUUAAAUAGAUUAGUAAAAUAUAAGGGAAACAAUGAAUGUAAUUUAAAAAUAAAAAUAAAAAUAAAAAACAAUGAAAGUAAUUUAAAAAAUCACCUUGAACGCAUCUGACUCGAAGUGCUAGCAUAGAAAGUCCCACUGGUCCUCUCUCCCAAUGAAAUCUGAAGGCAUGCCAAAGGACCCCUCUUUCAGAUAAGCUUUGUGGCACUGGUACUUCUAGUCCUUGUACCUCUCAUGUGCUCUCAUUAGUAUCCAAUUGAACAUUGCCUCAUCAUUUUCAUCCCACUCGUACUUCGGCUAAGUAAGAAAUAAAUAAAAAAUUCCCAUGUUAAGCACUAAAAAAUAAAAAAAUAAAAUUAACACACCCAAUUAUUAUCACAAAACACAUCUUUCAAUUCAUAUCAGCACACAAUACUUUACACAUAUUCAAUCAUACUUUACACAUAUCCAUAACAUUUUCACUUUAUAAGAAAACUCCUUAUGCAAACAUAUCCUUAGACAUGAAAUUUUAUCAACAGAGAGAUGUCAAUUCAGUCAGUUCAUGCCUUCCAAUUACAUAAGCAAUCAUAUAUAUGUUAUCAAACAAAUGUAAUUAAGUAAAUUUACUUUUCAUAUACUUUUCAGUUACUUACCGACAUUGCAUUCCACACCUUCCACUUCUUAGUCUGAUCAAGGUCGUAGAACGUGCUUGCCCUCAUUCCCACCAGACUCCGUAUGGCGCAACCAAUAUCAUGUGCCACCAAGUUGUUUAUCCCCCUGACGCUAGGGCAAUACAUCAGCUUGAUCUUCUGCCCCGUUUGUUGAACGAUAUCCUCCGCCUUCUUUCCAGUUGAAAAACCCCGCCUCUUUUUCGGGGUCGGAGCUACAAUUAACAUGUGAAAAUACAUUAUGAUACUUAAUAUACAAGAGGAUAUCUGUUGUGUGUAAGUGGCAUGAAAAUCAAAGAGACAUAUUGUACUGCAAGUUUACUGACCCCCAUUAUAAGUUUACUGACCCCCAGUAUGCGUUUACUGACCCCCAGUGAAAAUAUAUUAUGAUACUUAAUAUACAAGAGGAUAUCUAUUGUGUGUAAAUGACAUGAAAAUGAAAGAGACAUAUUGUACUGCAAGUUUACUGACCCCUAUUAUAAGUUUACGGACCCCCAGUAGAAGUUUACUGACCCCCAGUAGAAGUUUAUACUGACCCCCAGUAGAAAAUUAAUACACUUACUUGUUUGGCUUCUAACUUUGAUUCGAGCGUUGCCGACGAUGAGUCUUGCAGAUUCGGGUGCGGCUGCAGUUUCGGGUGCGGUUGCAGUCUCAGGUGCGGUUACUGACACGACCCACCCCGAAUUUCACCCUGAAACCCAGAGUAAGUCAUGCGGGGACCACCUCCAAGGAAAAUUUACUGAAAAGAUUAAGAAAAUCUCCCUUGCAGAUGGACAACCCUAACUCGAAAAUUUCAUAUUACACUCUUAAUUUAACACUUCUGAACAUCACAUAAUAUACAAAAAUUCUAAAGUAUUCAGAGCUACUAAACACAAGCGGAAGCAAGAAAACACGAGUAGGUUGAACAGGUAACCUACUGGCGAAAACUGGCAGAAAUGCGGGUGACUAUGCCUCGUCUCCUACUAGAUCCAACACGAACUCUGCAGACUGGGCAAUUUAAAACGAAGGGCCCAAGGGAAAACAUUUAAUAACGUUAGAGUGAGUGGACAAAAAUAAAAUAAUAAAUAAAAUAUUUAUGUUUCCCCAAAUUAAUUUCUAAGGAAAAAUCGAAUGCAUGCCGCAAGCGAUAAAACUUUUAUUCCAUAAAAUAUCGAGCCUCUCAGACUCUAUAAUAUAUGUAUGUAUUUACACUCGUCCAUACUCCCUAUAUAAAUUCAUGGGUCUAUAUAGGGCUACUACGCUCGCGUCCAACGCUCACGUCACGCCUUAAUGCGGUGCUACACUACGCCAUCAAGGUGGACAGACGGGUGUAUAAAUA
This 35852-nucleotide long non-coding RNA is filed under the name Fragaria vesca (wild strawberry). Its description in RNAcentral is "long non-coding RNA (FVES_LNC005557)". Lineage: Eukaryota; Viridiplantae; Streptophyta; Magnoliopsida; Rosales; Rosaceae. The record is from RNAcentral.